AACUUUUAGCGAUGGAUGUCUAGGCUCUUGCUACGAUGAAGAAUGCAGCGACAUGCAAUACGCGGUGUGACCUGCAGCUCUUAGAGAAACACACGAUUUUUGAACGCAAACGGCGCUUUUUGGGCUACGCCUAAAAAGCAUCUCUAAUUCAGUGCCC
Ribosomal RNA from Dendroctonus ponderosae (mountain pine beetle), 157 nucleotides. RefSeq annotates it as 5.8S ribosomal RNA. The transcript has a single exon. The record is from RefSeq and is a predicted model, not a curated record. NCBI's taxonomy places the organism in Eukaryota, Metazoa, Arthropoda, Insecta, Coleoptera, Curculionidae.